Molecule: long non-coding RNA, 2816 nt
Filed under: Homo sapiens (human)
Lineage: Eukaryota; Metazoa; Chordata; Mammalia; Primates; Hominidae
Description: HSALNT0205722
Source: RNAcentral
AGACAGGGUUUCACCAUGUUUCCCAGGCUGGUCUCAAACUCCUGGACUCAAGGGAUUCACCUGCCUCGGCCUCUGAAAGUGCUAUAAAACAGCAACAAGGUGCUGAUUUGGGGGAGCAUCCAAGGGUGAGGUCUCAAUCUACGCCUUCAAGAAGCUCAUUAAGGAAGGCUGAUAUUUGCUAGUUAACUAUAAAUUAAAGCAGAAUUAAGUAAUGAUGUUAACAGAAUUACAAGCAAAGUGCAACUUCGGAGUUUGGCAAAGGGAACAAUUAAUGCCAACUAAGAACACUGGCGAAGGCUUCAUGGAUGAGGGGGCAUUUGAACUUGAUUUUGAGAGUGUGCCAAGGAUGGUUUCUCUGGUGAAAGAAACUGCAAGACCAAGGCCCUGAAAUGCAGAAAUUCAUUGUCUGUUCCAAGUCCUGUCUGGCUUUCAAUGUACUGUCCAUUUUCACCUUUUACUAUGUCUGUGACUGGGAUGCAGAGUUUAAAUGUUAAAUGUUCUUAAAUUUGUCCAUUGGUCAAUUUUGUUUCUCAAGUAGACAGUAAACUUAUUAGGGACAGAUAUGUCAUAGAAUUCUUUUGUAUUUUCCCCUGCUAAUCUCACAGUGUUAGUACAUAGAAACUUCUCAGCAAAUGCUUAUUGAUUGAUACAGGAACUUUUGCUGCUUGGAUAAUAUGUUUUAAUGUAGGAAAACUUAGAGUGCAACAGGAAAGCAGCAAUCAGGAAACUAUUAGAAUUUUAGAAUUCUCAAUUGUUUCAAAAAUAUUUUUGAACUUCGUUGUGAGUCUAGAGACCAACCACAAAACAAAACUCUAGAGUUGUCAAUAAGGAAUUUAUUUAUAUUUGACAUCAAUUGCCAAAAAAAGCCAUUUGAAAAGCACUUUCCUCUUGCUGAAAGUGCUCACAUGAAAGUAUUUAGAACUUAGAAGUUCUAAGAAGGAACAUUAGCAGAGCUAGAUGCUAUUAGAAACUGUGAUUGGUUCUAGGAUUCUAAAAACAAAAGGGCAUACUGUUUGCUGUUCUUCAAGUGGCAUUUAUUUCAGCAGUCUUUAUUGUGUGACUGGGUGGGCUCUUAGAAUCAUCCAGGCCAUCUACUUGACUGCCUAAGGAGAUGGCUGCCCUCAGAAUUGGACUUGUUUUAAUAGAGCAAACUUUCUAUUUAUUAGUUAUCAACUUUAGAAUUAAAAGCUCAGAUUCAACAAUUAACUCAUUAUCCCAAAUGCAUGCCACUUGUCAUGACUUCCUGUUGUAUGACCACUAUCCUAUACAAUGCAGGCAGUGCCUUCAUGCCUGAACCUAUCCUACUAAAUCAGUCAAAAGGGAACUCUGGUUUCUGCAAGAUUUCAGCAUGGAAGAGAAGAUCCUAAAAGAUGCACCUCUAUACCUGGAGAAGUGUUGAAGAAAAUCAUAUGCAUCUGGAAGUCCCUUGAGAAGAACAGAUUCUAGGGCAAUAAUAUGAGACCUCAUAAAGUAUAAAUCCUGGCAGACCAAUUUAAUUUUUCAGGGACAUUGUGGCAAGCCUGAUUGAUGGAGAGGAAGCCAAGGAUGUAAUCUGCCUUGACUUUGUGAACAUUUUAGGUUUAUACUCACAAGCACACCCAUCAGAAACAGAAAAUAAGCUGCUUCAGGGGCACAUAAGUUUGCAGUACUGAGAUGAAGGCACAGCUCUUUCACUGAGCUCUGGCUUUAUUUUUGCCAGGGAUGUUAGUUGAUCUCACUUCCAUGACAGUGUGGGGAGGUGAAGGAGAAGAGCUAUGCAGCACAGGUUGCUAUAAUGACCAGGGCAUCUUCUUCUACAAGGAAUAGGAGGGGAGCAGGACAUAAUAGCAAUACUUGUUGUUUGUGCAUUGCUCUUGACAUUUACAAAGCACAUUGCAUGAAAAAUGGAAAUUGGAAGGUGUGUGUGUGUGUGUGUGUGUGUGUGUGUGUGUAGGGGGCAUGAGGAGAGGCAGAAGCAGCACUGGUCCUUCGAAUUAAUUACCUUUCAACUCUUACAUCUUUAAUGAGCUUGUUUUCAGUGCCUAGCAAUGCUCUAUGCAAAGAAGACUGGAUUAAGCAAAGAAGUUCAAGCACUGUCCUUUUGAAGCAUGUUAUAGUAACUGAACUUGCUCAGUGGGAAGCUUUUUGCUUCAUAGGCAAAUCCCUGCACCAGAUUCAAUUGAGAUGAACUGAAGAAACUCACCUGUUGCCAUUCAUGUAGUGCCCACCCUGGAGAACUCAAAUUACCGAAAUUCGCCUCAGUUGGACCUAGAACUUUCUAUGUUGGUUGCCUGUUUUGGAUGGUACAUCCCUUAAGGAAAAGGACAAUGUUUUCUUCUGUCUUUGUGUUUCCAGAGUUUCCAAGCUUGGUUCCUAACAAAUAGUAUGGGCUCAGGAAAAGUUUUGGGGGCGAGAACAUGAGGCGGGGAGGGAGGCAAUGUGCUCAGGUCAUGAAGCUAAAGUGGGCCAGCCAGCUCCAAAGCUAGAUGUGGCAGAGGGAAAGGAAUUGUGGCAGGUGGGGCUCAGGUGUUGGCAAUAAACAGGCAGAUUCUAGCAGGGGUGAGAGUAAUGGGAGUAAGAAUUCAAUCUCAAAAAACAUUCUGCGAUCCUGACUGGGAGGGAGUAGCACAGAGGACAUGCGAAGGAGGAGGGUAAGCAGGUCCCGGUUUCUGCCAAUGACCUUGAACGGGCCUCUAGGAGGCUCUUCUGAAAGUGGCCCUGCCCCUCCUCCUGAUCAACAAGACUGCCCUUUGGAAUCUGCUGUUAACCAAGUCUAAAGUUAUCUUCUGCCCCCUUUCCCUGGCCUCCUUAUCUCUUGUAAUAUGUUCAUAAAGGCA